RNAcentral lists this ribosomal RNA (1194 nucleotides) under Napier grass stunt phytoplasma. RNAcentral's name for it is "bacterial SSU rRNA". It matches the Rfam family "Bacterial small subunit ribosomal RNA", at positions 160 to 1374 of the family's 1533-position model. Lineage: Bacteria; Bacillati; Mycoplasmatota; Mollicutes; Acholeplasmatales; Acholeplasmataceae. The record is from RNAcentral.
UUUUGGACGUCUUUUAAUUUUUUGAAGACCUUUUUCGAAAGGUAUGCUUAAAGAGGGGCUUGCGACACAUUAGUUAGUUGGUAGGGGUAAAAGCCUACCAAGACUAUGAUGUGUAGCUGGACUGAGAGGUCGAACAGCCACAUUGGGACUGAGACACGGCCCAAACUCCUACGGGAGGCAGCAGUAGGGAAUUUUCGGCAAUGGAGGAAACUCUGACCGAGCAACGCCGCGUGAACGAUGAAGUAUUUCGGUAUGUAAAGUUCUUUUAUUGAAGAAGAAAAAAUAGUGGAAAAACUAUAUUGACGCUAUUCAAUGAAUAAGCCCCGGCAAACUAUGUGCCAGCAGCCGCGGUAAUACAUAGGGGGCAAGCGUUAUCCGGAAUUAUUGGGCGUAAAGGGUGCGUAGGCGGUUUAAUAAGUCUGUAGUUUAAUUUCAGUGCUUAACACUGUCCUGCUAUAGAAACUAUUAGACUAGAGUGAGAUAGAGGUAAGCGGAAUUCCAUGUGUAGCGGUAAAAUGCGUAAAUAUAUGGAGGAACACCAGAGGCGUAGGCGGCUUACUGGGUCUUUACUGACGCUGAGGCACGAAAGCGUGGGGAGCAAACAGGAUUAGAUACCCUGGUAGUCCACGCCGUAAACGAUGAGUACUAAGUGUCGGGGAAACUCGGUACUGAAGUUAACACAUUAAGUACUCCGCCUGAGUAGUACGUACGCAAGUAUGAAACUUAAAGGAAUUGACGGGACUCCGCACAAGCGGUGGAUCAUGUUGUUUAAUUCGAAGAUACACGAAAAACCUUACCAGGUCUUGACAUACUCUGCAAAGCUAUAGCAAUAUAGUGGAGGUUAUCAGGGAUACAGGUGGUGCAUGGUUGUCGUCAGCUCGUGUCGUGAGAUGUUAGGUUAAGUCCUAAAACGAGCGCAACCCUUAUCGUUAGUUACCAGCAUGUUAUGAUGGGGACUUUAACGAGACUGCCAAUGAAAAAUUGGAGGAAGGUGAGGAUCACGUCAAAUCAUCAUGCCCCUUAUGAUCUGGGCUACAAACGUGAUACAAUGGCUGUUACAAAGAGUAGCUAAAACGCGAGUUUAUAGCCAAUCUCAAAAAAACAGUCUCAGUUCGGAUUGAAGUCUGCAACUCGACUUCAUGAAGUUGGAAUCGCUAGUAAUCGCGAAUCAGCAUGUCGCGGUGAAUACGUUCU